AGGAAUGUAGAACAAGGGAAGUUCACCCCUUUUUGGUAGGGGUAGUCGGAGUUCGAGUCUUCGCGUUCCUA
Molecule: non-coding RNA, 71 nt
Organism: Wallemia ichthyophaga EXF-994
Lineage: Eukaryota; Fungi; Basidiomycota; Wallemiomycetes; Wallemiales; Wallemiaceae
Source: the annotation of a RefSeq genome assembly